This 234-nucleotide unclassified non-coding RNA is filed under the name Hevea brasiliensis (rubber tree). The record is from RNAcentral. Lineage: Eukaryota; Viridiplantae; Streptophyta; Magnoliopsida; Malpighiales; Euphorbiaceae.
GAAAUAUUCAAUAUAAAUUGCUGUUGAAUUGGCAGUAAAUAAUGGUAUCACCUUGUAAAAUUUCUUGCCUAUACCAAGGUGUAUAAAUACCCAACCAAUGAAAAACUAUCUACAUGUAUUUUUAAUUGUAACCUACCAUAAUUUUAAUUAAAAUGAUAAUUAUUAAUUGAUUAGAUGCAUACGACUGAAAAAAUAACUCUUAUUGACCCUAAUUAAACACGAGGCUAACUUAUC